UGGGGAAUAUUGCACAAUGGGCGCAAGCCUGAUGCAGCCAUGCCGCGUGUAUGAAGAAGGCCUUCGGGUUGUAAAGUACUUUCAGCGAGGAGGAAGGCGUUGUGGUUAAUAACCGCAGCGAUUGACGUUACUCGCAGAAGAAGCACCGGCUAACUCCGUGCCAGCAGCCGCGGUAAUACGGAGGGUGCAAGCGUUAAUCGGAAUUACUGGGCGUAAAGCGCACGCAGGCGGUCUGUCAAGUCGGAUGUGAAAUCCCCGGGCUCAACCUGGGAACUGCAUCCGAAACUGGCAGGCUAGAGGCUUGUAGAGGGGGGUAGAAUUCCAGGUGUAGCGGUGAAAUGCGUAGAGAUCUGGAGGAAUACCGGUGGCGAAGGCGGCCCCCUGGACAAAGACUGACGCUCAGGUGCGAAAGCGUGGGGAGCAAACA
RNAcentral lists this ribosomal RNA (427 nucleotides) under uncultured bacterium. RNAcentral describes it as "partial 16S ribosomal RNA". It matches the Rfam family "Bacterial small subunit ribosomal RNA", at positions 355 to 774 of the family's 1533-position model. The record is from RNAcentral.